Molecule: ribosomal RNA, 279 nt
Filed under: uncultured bacterium
Lineage: Bacteria
Description: partial 16S ribosomal RNA
Rfam family: Bacterial small subunit ribosomal RNA
Source: RNAcentral
UGCCAGCAGCCGCGGUAAUACGAAUGGAGCGAGCGUUGUUCGGAAUCAUUGGGCGUAAAGCGUAUGUAGGCGGACUUGAAAGUCAGAAGUGAAAUCCCGAGGCUCAACCCCGGAAUUGCUUUUGAAACUCCAAGUCUCGAGUCCCGGAGGGGUUGACGGAAUUCCUAGUGUAGAGGUGAAAUUCGCAGAUAUUAGGAGGAACACCAGUAGCGUAGGCGGUCAACUGGACGGGUACUGACGCUGAGAUACGAAAGCGUGGGGAGCAAACAGGAUUAGAUA